UCCUUAGUUCAGUCGGUAGAACGGCGGACUGUUAAUCCGUAUGUCACUGGUUCAAGUCCUGUCGAGGGAGCCA
Molecule: transfer RNA, 73 nt
Filed under: Aeromonas hydrophila
Lineage: Bacteria; Pseudomonadati; Pseudomonadota; Gammaproteobacteria; Aeromonadales; Aeromonadaceae
Also listed under: 1 other name
Description: tRNA-Asn
Rfam family: tRNA (bases 5-62)
About the family: Transfer RNA (tRNA) molecules are approximately 80 nucleotides in length. Their secondary structure includes four short double-helical elements and three loops (D, anti-codon, and T loops).
Source: RNAcentral